This 245-nucleotide unclassified non-coding RNA is filed under the name Hevea brasiliensis (rubber tree). Lineage: Eukaryota; Viridiplantae; Streptophyta; Magnoliopsida; Malpighiales; Euphorbiaceae. The record is from RNAcentral.
GGCGUUGACUUGAUUACAUCAGCUACAUUUCAAUUUAAUAGUCUUUGUGAGUCAUUUUACAUGUAUGCUGGUAAUAAACAUAAGACCCUCAUUUCAUACAAGCAAAUGAGUUGCAUUUUAUUCUAGUAAGGCUUAAUGGCAAAAUAAAUUAGUAAAAUAAAAUAAAUCUUUUAUUUAUUUAUUCAAUUUUAUCAAAAACUUCUAUUCUUAAUAAUUUUGUCUUAAUUUUAAAAAUUAAUUAAAAU